RNAcentral lists this ribosomal RNA (497 nucleotides) under uncultured bacterium. RNAcentral describes it as "partial 16S ribosomal RNA". It matches the Rfam family "Bacterial small subunit ribosomal RNA", at positions 28 to 507 of the family's 1533-position model. The record is from RNAcentral.
GAUGAACGCUGGCGGCGUGCCUAAUACAUGCAAGUCGAGCGAACAGACGAGGAGCUUGCUCCUCUGACGUUAGCGGCGGACGGGUGAGUAACACGUGGAUAACCUACCUAUAAGACUGGGAUAACUUCGGGAAACCGGAGCUAAUACCGGAUAAUAUAUUGAACCGCAUGGUUCAAUAGUGAAAGACGGCUUUGCUGUCACUUAUAGAUGGAACCGCGCCGCAUUAGCUAAUUGGUAAGGUAACGGCCUACCAAGGCGACGAUGCGUAGCCGUUCUGGAAGGGUUAUCGGCAACACUGGAACGGAGACACACUCCAGACUCCUACGUAAGGCAGCAGUGUGGAAUCUUCCGCAAGAGGCGAAAGCUUUACGGAGGCAUGCCGGGUUAGUUAUGAAGGUCUUCGGAUCUUAAAUGUCUGUUAUUCGUGAAGAACGUAUGUUUAAGUAUCUAUGCACUUCUUGACGGUACCUAAUCAGAAAGCCACGGCUAACUACGUG